Molecule: non-coding RNA, 45 nt
Organism: Schistosoma haematobium
Lineage: Eukaryota; Metazoa; Platyhelminthes; Trematoda; Strigeidida; Schistosomatidae
Source: Rfam
AUCCAGCUGACAAGUCCCAAAUCUGACGAAACACUCGUCCUGGAU